AUGCCUCCCACGCCGCCGCCGGAGACGGACGCCGAGCCGGAGUUCGCCGAGAUCGACCCCACCGGCCGCUACGGACGGUACACGGAGGUUCUUGGCAAGGGCGCGUUCAAGACGGUCUACAAGGCUUUUGAUCAACUGGAAGGGCUAGAAGUUGCCUGGAACCAAAUCAAAGUGGGUGAUAUAUUACGGAACAAUGAUGAUUUGGAGAGGCUGAGAUCAGAAGUGCGGUUGCUUAAGACGCUCAAGCACAAGAACAUAAUCAAGUUCUACAAUUCAUGGCUCGACAAGAAAAACAACAACAUAAACUUCAUCACAGAAGUCUUCACAUCAGGAACAUUGCGCCAGUACCGUAUUAAGCACAAGAAGGUAGACAUUAGAGCUUUGAAGAAAUGGUCAAGGCAAAUCUUGAGUGGUCUAGUGUACCUCCACGGCCAUGAUCCACCAAUAAUCCAUAGAGAUUUGAAAUGUGAUAACAUAUUUGUGAAUGGAAACCAGGGUGAAGUAAAGAUUGGAGACCUGGGAUUAGCAACCAUCCUAGACAAUGCACGCUCAGCUCAUAGCAUCAUUGGUAACCGAUUCAGCACACCGGAAUUCAUGGCGCCAGAACUCUAUGAUGAAGAAUACAAUGAGCUUGUAGACAUUUAUGCAUUUGGGAUGUGUUUACUGGAGCUUGUUACAUUUGAGUACCCAUAUUGUGAAUGCUCCAAUGCAGCACAGAUAUACAAGAAAGUUUCUGAUGGUGAAAGGCCCGGUUCACUGGCUAAGAUUGAGGAUCCUGAAGUUAAAUUCUUUAUAGAGAAAUGCAUAGCCCAAGCUUCCCAAAGGCUCUCAGCAGAAGAACUGUUAGUGGAUCCUUUUCUCCUAGAUGUUGAUGAUGAAAGAAUCUUCUAUCCAGUACAGUCAAAUACGAAUGCAUCAGAUGCUGGUGGCAGUUCGAACCCAAGUGCGAAUUACAGAACAGCAUCAUCUGUUGGCUCCCGGGGACGAACGGGUAGCACGGGGGGAUCACAUCCAAGUGAUAUGCACAGCAAUAGGGAUCGACAUGCUGGGACUAGUCGAAUGAUCACCGUUGAGAGUCAGCGGAAGGACCUAAAUACAAUAUUUUUGAAACUGCGGAUUGCCGAUUCAACAGGUCAUGCCCAAAACAUCCAUUUUCCAUUUGAUAUUGAAGCUGACACUUCAAUUAGUGUUGCUACGGAGAUGGUUGUACAGCUGGAUCUCACGGACCAAGAUGUUACUGCGAUUGCAGAAAUGAUAGAUUCUGAAAUACAGGCACAUAUUCCUGAAUGGGCGUUUGAUGAAUCAGUUGACAACCAAGGGGAUGAAGGAGCUCAUUCUGAGACUGAUAAUUCAGAAUCCGAUAACGGUGAGACUUCUGAGCUUCGUAACGAGGUUGAUGCAACAAACAAUGGUUUUACACAAGAGCAGCUUCCUUCUGGCCGGAAAUACUGGUCAGACUCACCCAGAAGAGAUAUUGAAAUCUCUCACUCGGUGGAGGACCAACAGACUGAUGAUAAUAUGCCAAAUGGGAUAUUGAAAAACAAUAAUGUAGACGGUAUGUGUGAGCGAAUGUCAUCAUCAGUGCACUUGUCGAACCCGGAUGUGGUCAACAGGAACUCGGGAGGAGCUUCUGCUGGCACUAGCUCUCGUCUUUCAGAUGGCGGUUAUCUCACAGCAGAUCUUAAUGAAAAGUUGGCAGAUUUGUUAGCCAAUCAGAAAGAGGAGCUCAGUGCGCUGCGAAGAAAACACAAGGCUGACAUAGAGGUGGUCUUAAAUGGGGUGCCUGCACAACAUCGCGAGGAGACCUUAACCAGGUGCCGCUUGAAGGCAGAUCAGAAAAAGUUAUGA
Molecule: ribosomal RNA, 1848 nt
Filed under: Triticum aestivum (bread wheat)
Lineage: Eukaryota; Viridiplantae; Streptophyta; Magnoliopsida; Poales; Poaceae
Description: partial small subunit ribosomal RNA
Source: RNAcentral